UACGUAGGGGGCAAGCGUUGUCCGGAAUCAUUGGGCGUAAAGCGCGUGUAGGCGGUUUCGUAAGUCUGCUGUGAAAGUCGGAGGCUCAACCUUCGAAAGCCGGUGGAUACUGUGAGACUUGAGUACGGAAGAGGAGAGUGGAAUUCCUGGUGUAGCGGUGAAAUGCGCAGAUAUCAGGAGGAACACCAACGGCGAAGGCAGCUCUCUGGGACGUUACUGACACUGAGGCGCGAAAGCGUGGGGAGCGAACAGG
This 253-nucleotide ribosomal RNA is filed under the name uncultured bacterium. RNAcentral's name for it is "partial 16S ribosomal RNA". It matches the Rfam family "Bacterial small subunit ribosomal RNA", at positions 524 to 776 of the family's 1533-position model. The record is from RNAcentral.